CGGUUUCUGCGGGAACAGAAAUGCCAUCGGAAACAAAGUUCUGUCGUUUUCCACGAGACGUUCAUUGUCUUAAAUGCUGUCCUCUUCUUUCAAAUGGUUGAUUUUAUUUCUGACAUUAGUUUAGGCUUCCUGGUCGUAGUUGUAAGCAGCAUUGAGAGGACUUGACUCAGAUGAAAAUGAAAACAUUAAUGUAACUAAAUGAAGCGUGGAGCUGGAAUCUUUUGGCCAGUACUUGGAGUCAAGUCCCGCUGUGUUUAAAUGAGCUUGUUGCUAGAUAAUGAACUUGUAUCUGGAUUUUCUUCAGAAUAUAUCCUAUUAAACCACAGUGAAGGCAGGAUUGCAACUGAACAUCAAGAAGGCAAAAGUCAUUACUACUGAGGAACUACACAACUUUAAGACUGAUGGCGAAGAAGUCGAAAUUGUUCAAGGUUUUCUGUUCCUUGAGUCAAUCAUAAGCCAAACAUGACUGCAACCAAGAAAUCAGAAGGUGACUGAGACUGGGAAAGGUGCCCAUACAACAAAGAAAAUAUAAAGGUAUUUAAAUGUAAGGAAGCACUGCUGAUGACCAAAAUAAAGAUACCUUGUGAGGCUGAGACAGUUCUAAGACAACUGUAACUGGCACAUAAUCACCCAGAAGGCUUCAUUUGAAGGUGUGGAGAAACAAACAUUUCACUAGAUUAGAGACCACCACUCCCAACAACUACAUCAUGUUGGCUCUCAGGGAUGCUUGAAAGUACAGAAGAGCUGAAAUGAAAAUGCAACGUGGAUUUGGAGAAACCUGUUCUUGGCCUGGAGCGACAGCCCCCAGAGUGGAACGUUGACCCCUGGAACCAGAUAAAUUGCUGUGGACCUGACAUUUGUGGCUUCCAUUCUAUCACUGGGCCUUUAGGCAUCUUCCCAUUGUGAACAAUGGACAUUCUUAUUAAUUUUAGGAAAUGCUACAUACUAAUCCUCAUGUUGCAGCUCUUUAUAAAUGUUCGUGAGUGAACUCUUGCCCUGUAUUUUGUUCGGAAUAUGGGAUAAAAUUAGCAUCCAGAGAUGCAUACUGCAGGCACACAUACACCAAACUCACUCCUGUGUACCACCCUUCUCCGUUCAGCAAAGAGAGGAAGAGUUAAAAAUACUCCCUUACUAUACCAUGAUGAACUUGGAAAGGCAGCAUUUGAGGGCCGCUGUUAGCUCCCUCCCUCAAUACAACCCAAGGCAUCCUAGUUCCUCUCUACAGUUUGCUGAGCUUGUCUCCUGCUACCGACUUUCUUGGAUGUGUUACCCAUGUCAUUUAACAUGUUAUUAUUUUAUUAAAAAGACUUAGCAUUUAGGAUCUAGGAAGCCAAAGGUCACAUAGCUUGGGCAGUUGGUUAAGAUGCUCCUGCAUCACCUACUCAAGACCUCUGCCACAUCUAUCAGUCAAGCUUUCAGCAAGAGAGGGAAGGCCUGGAGUUUGACUGAGGAAGCCACUUAAUUUGUUUGCAAGUAUGUGAUAGAUCCAGCUUGGAGGAAAAUGCAUAUUAUAAUUUUCCUUUUAGGUGAUAUUAUAAAGGAGGAGUGUGACGAAUGUACUUAUCCUGCAUUCAGAUUACAGGGUGGACCCGCCCCUGAAGGAGUUAAGCCCUGGCCAGCCCUGAUUGGCCAGAGAAAAAAACGCACAUAGUAUAAAUUCUGUCAGCGCUAGUGCUGAAGGGUUCUUUCUUUUUAGUCUUCGGACUUUGUGGCUCUGUAGGAGCUGGUGUGCCCUGGGUACUUUUG
Sphaerodactylus townsendi is the source of this 1746-nucleotide long non-coding RNA. RefSeq lists it as uncharacterized. The transcript is spliced from 3 exons. The record is from RefSeq and is a predicted model, not a curated record. Lineage: Eukaryota; Metazoa; Chordata; Lepidosauria; Squamata; Sphaerodactylidae.